This 380-nucleotide ribosomal RNA is filed under the name uncultured Acinetobacter sp. Its description in RNAcentral is "bacterial SSU rRNA". It matches the Rfam family "Bacterial small subunit ribosomal RNA", at positions 1001 to 1382 of the family's 1533-position model. Lineage: Bacteria; Pseudomonadati; Pseudomonadota; Gammaproteobacteria; Moraxellales; Moraxellaceae. The record is from RNAcentral.
UAGAGAUAGAAGUUACUUCGGUACAUCGGUGACAGGUGGUGCAUGGUUGUCGUCAGCUCGUGUCGUGAGAUGUUGGGUUAAGUCCCGCAACGAGCGCAACCCUUUUCCUUAUUUGCCAGCGGGUUAAGCCGGGAACUUUAAGGAUACUGCCAGUGACAAACUGGAGGAAGGCGGGGACGACGUCAAGUCAUCAUGGCCCUUACGACCAGGGCUACACACGUGCUACAAUGGUCGGUACAAAGGGUUGCUACCUAGCGAUAGGAUGCUAAUCUCAAAAAGCCGAUCGUAGUCCGGAUUGGAGUCUGCAACUCGACUCCAUGAAGUCGGAAUCGCUAGUAAUCGCGGAUCAGAAUGCCGCGGUGAAUACGUUCCCGGGCCUU